RNAcentral lists this ribosomal RNA (301 nucleotides) under uncultured bacterium. RNAcentral's name for it is "partial 16S ribosomal RNA". It matches the Rfam family "Bacterial small subunit ribosomal RNA", at positions 509 to 807 of the family's 1533-position model. The record is from RNAcentral.
CAGUCGCCGCGGGAAUACGUAGGGUACAAGCGUUAAUCGGAAUUACUGGGCGUAAAGCGUGCGCAGGCGGUUUCGUAAGACAGAUGUGAAAUCCCCGGGCUUAACCUGGGAACAGCAUUUGUGACUGCGAGGCUAGAGUGUGUCAGAGGGGGGUGGAAUUCCACGUGUAGCAGUGAAAUGCGUAGAUAUGUGGAGGAACACCGAUGGCGAAGGCAGCCCCCUGGGAUAACACUGACGCUCAUGCACGAAAGCGUGGGGAGCAAACAGGAUUAGAUACCCCGGUAGUCCCUGUCUCUUAUAC